RNAcentral lists this ribosomal RNA (402 nucleotides) under bacterium. RNAcentral's name for it is "partial 16S ribosomal RNA". It matches the Rfam family "Bacterial small subunit ribosomal RNA", at positions 355 to 776 of the family's 1533-position model. The record is from RNAcentral.
UGGGGAAUUUUGCACAAUGGGGGAAACCCUGAUGCAGCGACGCCGCCUGAUUUAGAAGGCCUUCGGGUUGUAAAAAUCUUUUCUAUGGGAAGAAAAUGACAGUACCAUAGGAAUAAGGACCGGCUAAUUACGUGCCAGCAGCCGCGGUAAUACGUAAGGUCCGAGCGUUGUCCGGAAUCAUUGGGCGUAAAGGGUACGUAGGCGGGUAAGCAAGUUAGAAGUGAAAUCCUAUAGCUCAACUAUAGUAAGCUUUUAAAACUGCUCAUCUUGAGGUAUGGAAGGGAAAGUGGAAUUCCUAGUGUAGCGGUGAAAUGCGCAGAUAUUAGGAGGAAUACCGGUGGCGAAGGCGACUUUCUGGCCAUAACCUGACGCUGAGGUACGAAAGCGUGGGUAGCAAACAGG